Molecule: non-coding RNA, 789 nt
Filed under: Lispe pumila
Lineage: Eukaryota; Metazoa; Arthropoda; Insecta; Diptera; Muscidae
Source: RNAcentral
AUAAAGUUUUAUUUUGGCUUAAAAAUUUAUUAUUAGUUUAAUUUAUAUGUAAAUUUUUGUAUGAGAUUUUAUUUAUUUUAAUAGUAGAUAAUUUUAUUAUAUCCGCAGUAAUUAAUAUUAUUUAUUAAAGAAAUUUAGAAAUAGUAAUAUUAAAAAGUAUUGACUAAAUUUGUGCCAGCAGUCGCGGUUAUACAAAUAAUACAAGUAAAUUUUGUUUUAAUUAAAGUUAGAUAGGAUAAAAUUAAAAAUAAAUAAAUUUAUUAAGUGAAAUUUUAAAUUUAUAUUUUUUAUUAAAUAAUUAAUUAAAGCUUAGAAAUUUUUGUAAUAAACUAGGAUUAGAUACCCUAUUAUUAAAAAUAUAAUUAAGAAGAUUAAGGUAGUAAUAGUUAUGUUCUUGAAACUUAAAAAAUUUGGCGGUAUUUUAGUCUAUUCAGAGGAACCUGUUCUGUAAUCGAUAUUCCACGAUGGACCUUACUUAAAUUUGUUUUUCAGUUUAUAUACCGUCGUUAUUAGAAUAUUUUAUAAGAAUGUUAAUUUUCAUAAUUUUGAAAUAGAAAAUAUAUCAGAUCAAGGUGUAGCUAAUAUUUAAGUAGAAAUGGGUUACAAUAAAAUUAUUUAAAUGGAUAUAAAUUUGAAAUAUUUAUUGAAGGUGGAUUUGAUAGUAAAAUUAUAAAGAUUAUUAAUUUGAUUUUAGCUCUAAAAUAUGUACACAUCGCCCGUCACUCUUAUUAUUAAGGUAAGAUAAGUCGUAACAUAGUAGAUGUACUGGAAAGUGUCUCUAGAAUGCAA